Molecule: ribosomal RNA, 529 nt
Filed under: uncultured Macrolepiota
Lineage: Eukaryota; Fungi; Basidiomycota; Agaricomycetes; Agaricales; Agaricaceae
Description: SSU rRNA
Rfam family: Eukaryotic small subunit ribosomal RNA
Source: RNAcentral
GCAGCCGCGGUAAACCAGCUCCAAUAGCGUAUAUUAAAGUUGUUGCAGUUAAAAAGCUCGUAGUUGAACUUCAGACCUGGCUGGGCGGUCCGCUUAACGGCGUGUACUGUCUGGCUGGGCCUUACCUCUUGGUGAGCCGGUGUGCCCUUUAUUGGCGUGCAUUGGGGAACCAGGACUUUUACCUUGAGAAAAUUAGAGUGUUCAAAGCAGGCCUAUGCCCGAAUACAUUAGCAUGGAAUAAUAAAAUAGGACGUGCGGUUCUAUUUUGUUGGUUUCUAGAGUCGCCGUAAUGAUUAAUAGGGAUAGUUGGGGGCAUUGGUAUUGAGUCGCUAGAGGUGAAAUUCUUGGAUUGACUCAAGACCAACUAUUGCGAAAGCAUUUGCCAAGGAUGUUUUCAUUAAUCAAGAACGAAGGUUAGGGGAUCGAAAACGAUCAGAUACCGUUGUAGUCUUAACAGUAAACUAUGCACGACUAGGGAUCGGGUAACCUCAAAUUUGAUGUGUUGCUCGGCACCUUACGAGAAAUCAAA